GCACGAAUGGCGUAAUGAUGGCCAGGCUGUCUCCACCCGAGACUCAGUGAAAUUGAACUCGCUGUGAAGAUGCAGUGUACCCGCGGCAAGACGGAAAGACCCCGUGAACCUUUACUAUAGCUUGACACUGAACAUUGAGCCUUGAUGUGUAGGAUAGGUGGGAGGCUUUGAAGCGUGGACGCCAGUCUGCGUGGAGCCAUCCUUGAAAUACCACCCUUUAAUGUUUGAUGUUCUAACUCGGCCCCGUGAUCCGGGGUGAGGACAGUGUCUGGUGGGUAGUUUGACUGGGGCGGUCUCCUCCCAAAGAGUAACGGAGGAGCACGAAGGUUAGCUAAUCACGGUCGGACAUCGUGAGGUUAGUGCAAAGGCAUAAGCUAGCUUGACUGCGAGAGUGACGGCUCGAGCAGGUACGAAAGUAGGUCUUAGUGAUCCGGUGGUUCUGAAUGGAAGGGCCAUCGCUCAACGGAUAAAAGGUACUCCGGGGAUAACAGGCUGAUACCGCCCAAGAGUUCAUAUCGACGGCGGUGUUUGGCACCUCGAUGUCGGCUCAUCACAUCCUGGGGCUGAAGUAGGUCCCAAGGGUAUGGCUGUUCGCCAUUUAAAGUGGUACGCGAGCUGGGUUUAGAACGUCGUGA
Molecule: ribosomal RNA, 635 nt
Filed under: Bacillus cereus
Lineage: Bacteria; Bacillati; Bacillota; Bacilli; Caryophanales; Bacillaceae
Description: partial 23S ribosomal RNA
Rfam family: Bacterial large subunit ribosomal RNA
Source: RNAcentral